UAUAGGUAAAUCACGAUGAAACGGUCAAGUUUAACGUUUAUACCUUUCACUAUCCAGCUAUUAGUGUGCACUUUUCGGCCGCCGCUACUAAUAAUUAAUACGGUAUAAUAUUAUAAUAAUAAUAUCAUGCAUAUUAUUAUAUGAAUACCUGCAGUGUACACAUCGUAUUUUAUUCACUCGCCCAUUCCUCCUGCAGGCGCCCAAAAUGACGCAUAUCUGGUACCUAUCAUAUAUAGGUACGUACCUAUAUUUAAUAUUAAUUGUAUGGUAAAACGCAUUGUCAAAUACUCCGAUAAUAUGCCCUGAAAGUUAAUUACGAUUGCACGUGGUCGGUGAACAUUAUUAUAUAGUAUACACAGAGAGCAUAUAUAUUUUUUUAUUCUGCGUUUGUCCUUGGUAAUUGAUGAUAUUUAUAAGACAAUCUUGUACUCCGGGCGGCAACCCGUUGUUGACCUCUGGGCUCUGACGAAUACUUUCACUGCACCAACCCAUUCGGUUCUUCACCUACAUUUUUUCACGCUCCGCGGUAACGCAAAAUUCGAGUACGUAGAUGCCAUCCUUAAUUUAUGUGUACCUAUAACUAUAACUACACUGUUGUGUUACGUUCAAGUAAAUAAAUAAUACGGCCAAUUUAUUGACAAUAAUACGCGUUUUACUAUGAGAGGAUUUUAAUACUGUUUGUAUAUUAUUAUUAUAUACCGAUCACGUAUCACGCGAUAUCUAUAUACACGGGAUAUGGUCGUUUAAUUCCGUACGUAUAAUAUGUUAUAUAGUAAACGUUUCACGUUUCCAGACUUAAAACGCUUUUAAGACGAUUCGAAUACUUGUCCGGUGAUUUAUUAAAUGUCAAUGAUUAGUUCGGUAAUAAAAUUUCGGUGAUAAAAGCGAAAAAAAACCAUAAAACAGCGUCGCAGUCUUUCCAUUUCUCUCGGUGUCAACACGCCGUCUGGGCUCACGACUGUUAAAAACAUAUACCGGAAAUGUGCAAAUAACGAAGUUCGUGCGUCGUCGAGACAUAAAAGGAAACAUAAGUACCACUUAUAAUUUUGUUGGACAUUAAAAUUUGAUCGCUUAUCGCGAUUCUCGGGCGAAUCGCUGAAAAGCGUGAGGAGUUUUCCGGGUCCGUUUCAGUUCCAAGUAUUAUAUAUAGCUAUAAUGUCGAGCCCAAGUCAUAUCGUUUUGGCGAAACGUUGCGGACACUAAUUUACACCUGCAGCGAUAUAUCGAUAUAAGUGUACAUAAAAUAGUAUUGUUAUACAAACGCAAGUAUAUACGUUGUAAAGGUAGGUUCUGUAUUAUAUAUACACAUAUCUAUCGCCGUCACGUAUCAUUAACCGCAGUGUAUAUAUAAUACGAUUUCGUAAAAUUGUGCAGUGCUCUAUGAGUCAUCGCAGUCGACUUUCGUUUUCUCUGGGGGCGAUGUGUCUGUAGGUCCCGCUCCGCACAGGUGUGGAUUUGCUGUUGUAGAGCGGCGGUACGCAACAAUGUCGGUAUACUUACUUACGCCUACAGGGUGAUUCACCGAGCACGCUCACCCCCAUUUUUUCGUCAAAUAACAUUACCUAUAUAUUAUUCUAAUUUUUAGAGUUUUUAAAUAAUGUUUCUAAAGUUCUUGACAUUUUUUGUGUUUCAUACUUUAAGAGUGUCUUGUG
Molecule: long non-coding RNA, 1652 nt
Organism: Aphis gossypii (cotton aphid)
Lineage: Eukaryota; Metazoa; Arthropoda; Insecta; Hemiptera; Aphididae
Exons: 3
Source: RefSeq, a predicted model, not a curated record